This 496-nucleotide ribosomal RNA is filed under the name uncultured bacterium. RNAcentral's name for it is "partial 16S ribosomal RNA". It matches the Rfam family "Bacterial small subunit ribosomal RNA", at positions 28 to 507 of the family's 1533-position model. The record is from RNAcentral.
GAUGAACGCUGGCGGCGUGCCUAAUACAUGCAAGUCGAGCGAACAGACGAGGAGCUUGCUCCUCUGACGUUAGCGGCGGACGGGUGAGUAACACGUGGAUAACCUACCUAUAAGACUGGGAUAACUUCGGGAAACCGGAGCUAAUACCGGAUAAUAUAUUGAACCGCAUGGUUCAAUAGUGAAAGACGGUUUUGCUGUCACUUAUAGAUGGAUCCGCGCCGCAUUAGCUAGUUGGUAAGGUAACGGCUUACCAAGGCGACGAUGCGUAGCCGACCUGAGAGGGUGAUCGGCCAAACUGGAACUGAGAAACGGCCAGACUCCUACGGGAGGCAGCAGUAGGGAAUCUUCCGCAAUGGGCGAAAGCCUGACGGAGCAACGCCGCGUGAGUGAUGAAGGUCUUCGGAUCGUAAAACUCUGUUAUUAGGGAAGAACAAAUGUGUAAGUAACUAUGCACGUCUUGACGGUACCUAAUCAGAAAGCCACGGCUAACUACGUG